AUGAUCUUGUGGAAUGAUAGGAGAAAAGUAGCAAAGAAGUUAGAUGGAUUGAUUCUACCCCACAUAAUGAAGAAGUUAGACGCAUUGACUAGAGAAUUCAACUUGGAGGUGGUAGAAUGCUCAGAAGAAGUGGCUGAAGUGGUUGCAUUAGGAGGCAGCGGUUUUAGGUUUGUCGUUAACUUGCAAGAUCGAACAUGUUCAUGUCGACAAUGGCAAGUUUGUGGUCUUCCUUGCAAACAUGCUCUUGCAUUCAUCACAUCACUUAGCGAUGCUCACAUAAAGAAUUACGUUGAUUUGUAUUAUUCCACUGAAAAAUUCAGAGCAGCCUAUUCCAACCUGAUCCCUACUAUGCCUGACAAGAGCCAAUGGCCUAAAUCUGACCAUGGAUUUUUCAUGCAUCCACCACUACUUAAAGCUACAGCUGGCAGGCCUAAAACUGAGAGAUAUAAAGGUUGUAGUGACAAGAAAAGAAAAAAGGGCAAGCACUUAUGUCCAAUUUGUAAGGAAUAUGGGCAUCAUUGGCACAACUGUAAGAAGGGUAACCCUGAUGACAUUGCUGCAAUGUUGGCUAUUAGAGAACCACCAAAGAAGAGGGCAAAGACUAGCAAAACAGCCCAGUCCAUUGUGCCUUGCGAGGAUGGAGCACCAACAAGGAUGCUUUUUCCACCACCAAGCCAAAGCUUGGAAACUACAACUAAGAAAAAGAGAAAACGUGACAACACUGAAUCUGGAGGUUCAAAGAGAUCAAAAACUGGCUCCAUUGAGAAGGCCAAGACGAAAAAGAAGGUUGCUCAGAAGAUUCCGGUGCCACUUGACAGCCCAGCAAUGGGCACAAGGAGCAGAAAGUUUAAUCCUCCUAGCCCUGCUAUGAGCACAAGAAGCAAAAGAAGGCUCAACUUGUAA
This 903-nucleotide ribosomal RNA is filed under the name Triticum aestivum (bread wheat). RNAcentral's name for it is "partial small subunit ribosomal RNA". The record is from RNAcentral. Lineage: Eukaryota; Viridiplantae; Streptophyta; Magnoliopsida; Poales; Poaceae.